This 12532-nucleotide long non-coding RNA is filed under the name Marmota monax (woodchuck). Lineage: Eukaryota; Metazoa; Chordata; Mammalia; Rodentia; Sciuridae. The record is from RNAcentral.
GUGAACCUUAACUAGCUGUUGGCAGAAAAAUGAAGACCAAAACUCAGCCCAGAAGAAAAUGGAAUUAUGGGGAAAACAACAUGGAAAAUGGUAAGGAAUGCUAUUUGACAUUAUUUCGAUGAAAGUUUAGCAAGAAGCUGAAUUAACAGGCCACAAAAUCAGUGAGAAAAGAUAUGCAGAAGCAGAGACUGGCCAGACAGUGUUGAGAAGGAAAGGAGUCUCCUGUCUACCCUGAACAGCUGGAGCCCAGCCCCUCAGGUGGAAUGGGAGGAGGUGUGGGCUGGCAGGAGAACUGAGCCCUUGGUAACUGUGUUCUUGAGUUCUGCUGUAGGGAGCAAGAUGUGGAGGCUUCAGACAAUAUUGAUUGGGGCUCCAUUCCACUGCUUUUGGUUGGAACUGCUGUCAACUCCAAAGUUAUACGGGACCUUACUCAAGUUUUGCUCUGCAUUUGAGAGGAAGAAGGCAGAGGACAUCUAUUUCUAUAUGUGCUAUACAAGAUAAUUGGAUUUUUUUCAUUGAAUUCUCACAACAACUUCACAAAUUAGGUAAUAUAGUCUCAUUUUAUAGGUAAGAAACCUGAGGCUUAGAAUGAAGCUUAUUCAUGGCCAAAAAGAGAGGAGGGAUUAAAACCCAGCGCUAUUGCCAUGACCCCAGGCUGAAUCCCAAGGAAUCCCACCAUCUCCUGGGAAUAAAUGAUUCAUGCUUUUUCUUCCUAGAGUUGCUAUGGAAUGGGAAGAGAAUGUGCUCAUGGACACCUCCCACUCAGUGUCUGGAGCACAGUCCACACUCAGUAGUGAGCACUCAGUAUAAGAGGAAAGAGGUCCCUUCUCACCGAUUUUCUCUGGACUCUCAGAAAUGAUACAGAGCUUAAGAAUGGGCCUUGCUCUUUUGUUUACCAGGUAAGUGACAUCCUCCCACCCAAAGAGGAACCUUUUAGGAGUCCUGGUGGGAGGAAGCAGACCAGGUGGUAGGGGACCCUGAAUAACCUGCCUCAGAGAUCUCUAAUCCAAGACUGGUUAGUUUUCCUUUCUGGGUGGGAAGAGGAGGCAAAUCUUUCUAGUUACAAUUCCGAGUUGGAUAAAGGGAUUUCCAGGCUCAAAGUGUAAAUCAGGGUGGAAUUUAUUUCCACAGAGAGCUGAGGUGACUCCUGUAAAGCAAAUCCAUGAGUUUCCUGGGCCCAUCCCCAACAAGUCACUCAUGAGCCCUGAAGAAACUGAUUGAUUAAUAAACCUUAAGGAGGCUGCAGGUCAAGAGCAUCAGUGUUCUCCUAUCAGGACUGGCUUUAUUUUUAAUGUCACAAAUAAAUUGUUUCAAGCUCAGAUAGGGAAACUGAGGCUGAGAGGCAACCAGGGACAAAGUAAUUCCAUAACUAAGAGCACCAAGCUCUCUGGGCCUGAGGAUACAGAAAACCUGUCCUUGUUACAACACAAGAUCCACUAAGAAGCUUGCAGUAGCAUUUUAAUUUUGUGGUUAAAAAAAAAAAAAAAACCUGAGUAAUUAAGUCACUUGCCUAUUUUUCAUUUUCUGCUAGCAACUCCACAAAAACUACUAAGAACAAAGACUCUAGGGCCUAGGCCAAGCUACUAGAUUCAGAAGAUGCUGCAGUGGUUUUGAGAUUCUAAUCACCACAGAUGACAGUUGAUGUGAACAGAAUCAGCUUCUUUAUUUCCCUCCCUGAGGAAGCAAAAGUCUUAAAACAGAUUAAAAUGGAGAAUAACAGCAAAGUUUUUAAAAGAGCUAAUAUGAACUGCUAGCUUCUCCUCUGACAACCUCACCACCACCACUGACAUCAGCCCCUAGGCCUAGGAAAGGAAGGAAAUAAGAAGAACUUCCCACAAAGCCCCUGAGGAGAGGUGAGGGUGGCAGGCUCCCCUCCAGCUGGGGUUCCUUCUGCAGCAGACCUCAGGGCAUGUCUGCCAGUCAGUCACGGGGAGAAAGGAAAUACCCCGCGGGCAGGGCACAGUCAGGAGGGAGGGUCAGAAGCCAAUUCUCAGCUUCCUGCAGAGUUAAGUUUUGUAAUGACACAGAUUGGUGAGUUUCCACUAACCCAGCACAGUAUGAAGAUGGUAGCUGGGACUAGGGAGGACUUGUCAGUCCCAGGAGGACAUUUGGAGGAGAGGAAAGAAGAAUCUUCUGGGUUUCAACCCCAAUCUCUUACUCUGUGGCCUUGGAUGAGAUAUAUCCUAGUUCUGAGCCUCAGUUUCUUAUUAGUAAAAUGGGGAUAUCAUUACCUAAUUCAUAAAGUUAUGAGAAUUAAGUGAAAGAAAAGUCUUCAAGAUCCUUGCAAAGAACAGGUGAUUAAUAAAUGGGAAUGAGUGUGAAACCACCUUCCUGGAAUGAGGGGCCAGUGGCUGCCUGUGAAAUAGCAGGGUACUUCCGAAAAUGCCUGGCUUCAAGCAAUACCCAUUCUAGCAGGGAGCACCCCCAGAGAUGUGAACUCAAUGGUGCCAAGAAGCACAUGGAGCCACAGAGAAGGAUGCCUUCCCCACCACUGGCAUGCAGACAACCAUAAAAAGAGACUUCUCUGUCACUGGAAGCCACCAAGGAAAUUAGGGGUACAAUGAUAAGAAAAUCAUGUUCAAUUAUAAAAUAUAUCCCAUUUUGUAGCCCUUUGUAUCUGUCUUCUAUUGCUGCUAGAGCAAAUUGCCAUAAUAGAUUAAUUGUCUUUUAGUCCUGUGGGCUACAAGCCCCUUGGGCCCCAUAGGACUGAAGUCCAGGUGUCAGCAGGGCUGUGUUCCUUAGUGGAGCCUCUAGUGGAAAAUCCAUUGCUCUGCUUAUUCAGGUGUUGGCAGUUCCAUGGGACUGAAGGACUGAGGUCCCUGUUUCCUUGCUGGCUGCUAGCUAGAGCCACCACUAGUUCCUAGACAACCCUGGUCCUUGCAUGGAACCCCCUGUAUUUCUGCAACAGGUCAUCAAACCUUCCUCUUACCACCAUCUUUUUGACCCUUCUUCCAUUAUCACAUUUCUCUCUCUAACUACAACCAAGGAAGUUUGUCUGCUUUUACAAAUUAGACUGAGCCUACCCAGCUAACCCAGGAUGAUCUCCCAUCUCAAAAUCCUCAAGGUUAAUCACACUGGCAAAAUCCCUGUUACCUUGUAAGAUGCUGUGGUUUUGAAAUGAGGUGUUCCUCACAGUUCCUGUUAAUGCAAUAAUAUUCAGAGGAGAAAUGCUUGGAUUGGGAAAGCUGUAACCUGAUCAGUCCAUCGUAGUUUAAAUGGGCUUGAUUGGGUGGUGUGGGACCUGACUAGAACAGGUAGAUCACUGGGGGCAUGGCCUGGAAGGGUUCAUCUUCCCUGUGGCCCCUUCCCCCUCUCUCUAUCUGCUUCCUGGAUGCUGUGAGAGGAACAGCUUCCCUCUGCCCUGCCCUUCCUAUAUGAUGUGCUGCCUCACCUUGGGUCCAGAGCCAUGGAGUCAGCCAUCUAUGGGUUGAGACUUCUGAAACCAUGAGCCCAAAAUGAACCUACCAUCAUCUAAGUUAUCAUUUUCAAGUAUUUUGGUCACAAUGACGCAAAGCUGACUAAAACACGAGGUAGUACAUUCACAGGUUCUGAGAAUUAGGAUGCAUAUGUCUUUGGGAGGUCAUUUUUCUGUCUACCACAUCAUUGUACAUUCAAAUAUUUAUUUAGUACCUUUACAUGCCAGGUACAGUGCUAGAUGCUGACAUAAGAUGUCAGUACCAGUAGUAUGGGGCGGGGUAAGAAGACUGGGGUAGGGGUGCCACACACUGGGACUUCUGACUUGGAGUUCUUUUGUAGUACUCUAGGGGUUCCACUUACAUGAAGAUUGUAACAUGCCCCACCUCCUAACACCCAGGAAUCCCCGCCUCCUCACUGACUUAUGCUGGUCUGGAAUUGCUGGAGGUCUCUAGAUAAGGUCAUUCCAGUUUUCUGGGAAGUAGGAACUAAGCUUACUGGGGAACUAAGACAAGGAUCAUGCUAGAUUCAGGUCCAGACUUAACAGAAAAAACAAGAACAGGUGGGAUCUGCGGCAUCCAGAGAGCCCCCUGGGAAUAGUGCUGCUCCUGCCCUUUACCCUUUUCCCUCAGAGAACAGGAGAGGGAAAUGCCCAAGUCCUCUCAGGCCACUUAUAACUACAUGUCAUAAAAGAGAGAUGGGGAAAGACAUUUAAAAAGGUUGGUUUCUCACUAACUGAAGCCCCUUCCGGUGGAGGCUCCCUGGCCUAUAUUUUGCAGCUCCAGGGCUCAUGGGAGCCACCAGCUUGCUUCUUUUUUCUUUUUUUUUUUUUUUUCUCAACCACAAGGAUGGUGAGUCAGCACAGUGGUUAGUUCUCUGCUGAGAGGCCUCAGCCCUCAGCAGAGCUCUAGGUGGAGCAGCCUCCAGCCCAGCCAGGCCCAGGGUCCUGCCCUGGCAUUCCAUGCAGUCCUGGGCCUCCAAGAUUGGCUGGCACCCUACACUAAGCAGCUACUUAUCUUGCUGAAUACAGUGCUACCAAAGCCAUGGCAGGAGAGGUGAAGGAUAAAUAAGAAAAGGAGUCAUCAGCCCAGUCUGACAAGCACCAGUUAGCAUUUGGUCAACAGCAACUUGGGCUCUUUGCUCAGGUCAAACUUGAAAUCCGAGGGAAUUGGCAAAGUGCUAUCCCUUCCUCUGGUCUGGAAUCUAUAUCUAGAAGCCAAGCCCUGACUCCUGAGAUCCAGGUAAAGUCCACAUCCCAGCAUCAGAUUCUGCCCUGACAGACUUCAGAGUCCCUUGCAGCUUCCAGGAAGGGUAUUCAGUACCCUCUCGGUUAAAAGUAUUCUCACUACAAACACCAGAACGCCAGCUAUGUUGUCACUUCUGCUCCUACCACAUAAAACUGGCUGGCAAAGAAAGCUUUUAGGGAGCGAUUUCCCCCCAAAUAUGUAGCAUUUUAAAAAACCUCUCCUAUACCCUUCUUCAGAGUUAAAUUGCUAACAGCAGUCCUGAGUGACACCUAACAAGUCGGCAGUAAAAAGGAAACUCAUCAGCAAUUAUAAGCUCUAACUAACAGCAUGUGGCUUGGAAAACAAGUCUUCCUUUAAAUCCACACCCCAUCUCUGGAUUAUCUUGUCUAGAGGUCUUACAGGGUAUGCCUCAGUGUUCUGUUAAGGACACUGGCUUCCAGAUAUGGAAACAGGGGGUUUUCCUCUCUAAUCUUUCCCUAAUACGCACCAUUACAAUGAUUAGGACUCUAACACAUUAUGAAAUAUGUCUCUAAUCACAUGCAAACUUUGGCUUUAGUGAUGGAAGACUACAGAGAAUCAUGGUGGUGGUGGUAGUGGUGAUGAUGAUGAUGAUAAUGAUAAGGAAAGUACAAGAUUAUUUGACUCUCCUCAGCCUCAGAUUGUUGAUUACAGGUAGAUGUGGCUACUAAUCACAAAAUUACAUAAUUUCCCUUUUAUUCCUAAUGUAUGUUCAUAAAACUUCCUGGAAAGGACUUUAUUCCUCCUUCAAAUGUCCAACACACAGUCUUCUUUACAUUUUCCUACCAAGCUCCUAGGAUUCAGCCCACUGAAUUCACAUUCAACCCUAGAAACAAGGUAUAAGCUAUUACUUCAAAGGAAUUGCAAUCCCCCAACUCAGAAAGUGUUCCCUUUUUGCACCCCCUCAAAACUGUCUAUAUCAUUUUAAUCGCCCAACUUUUGGGAAGUAGGGGCAAACUCUAUAUUUCUUUUCACUGGGAUUAGCCCAGAUCGUAGACCCUGUCUUUUUCCUAGGCAUAUGGCUGAGUCACUCUGAGCACAGAAAAUCGAUAGCACAAAUGAUCACAGGUUGUAGAACCUCAGCUCAGGAGAGAGAUCACUGGUCGAGAAAGCUUGUGAUAUGCACUGUCCAGAAAUCACAGAACACGUAGCCCUACUCAGUAUUAAUAAUGAGUGUAAGACAGCUCUUACAGAGUAGGGGGAAAGUUCUAUGUUCUGCCAUGGAGAUACAGAAACACAUAAAAUAUUUCAUUAAUCAGAAUUAUAAUGAGACAGAACCAGGGUGGCUUUAAAAUGGAUGUCCCUGUUGAGAUAAGAUCCUCUCAGGCAGGCAGGCAGGUGGAUUUAGGCAGUGCUAUCACCAGGGGAGCCUCAUGUGCUUCUGGAAGACAAGGCUCCUGAAAUAGAGAAUUCAGGAACUUUCUUAACUGUCACACUAACUUUUAGGAACCCUUAGUAUGGAUGUCUGGUCAUGUCUCAGGAUUGGCCUAAAUUCCACAUGUGUCCUUAGAAUGAGCUCUGCUCCGCCCACUACCCUUCUCACUGUUCCUCCAAUACCCCAAGUUUGUGCCUCCUUCAGAGGCCAUGCCUGAUGUCCCUUUGUCUGGAACAUUCUUCCCUAGCUUCUUGGUAUCUGGGCCCCUCUUGCUGCUUAGGCCUUCCUUCCUUUCUUGUUUUCUUAUCACUGACAUUUUCAUAGAUGGUUUUGUUUACUGUUUAUUGUCUUAUGUCACUUUAUACAAGUGUGAGCUCCAUGGAAAUAGAGGCCUUGUCAACCUUGUUCACUGCUGUGUUCCCAGGGCUCAGAUGCUGCCUGGCACAAGCUGGCAGUCAAUAAACACUUGUUGAAGGAACCUGGGAAGACACAUUCCAAUGUCUAUGUUGGAUGGGCUGGGAAUCCCCAUAUAGGAUCAGACCUGAGGGAGAGAUUAAAAUAAAUGGCUUCUGGAGGUAAUCCCAAGUAGAUGUGAAUUCUGGUGGAGAAGGCAGGAUUGGGCAGCUGGGCUCAAGCGUCUGGCAGAAAGGUUAUUCAAGGUCAAGCUGUGUUACAUCAUUCCCAUCUCCACCUGGGGAAGAAGAGAGCUAAAGUGAAAUUAGGCCCCUGAAAGCCUGUGACAGAAAUCUUGGGGACAGAUCUUCUAUCCAGAGGGCUUCCAUGAAGACCCAUCUCUGGGAACCACAACACCAGAUGCUAAACUCCUACAUUUCCAGAAAACCUUGCCCCAAGAGUGAGCUUUAGGGAGUACAGUACAGUGAGCCAGAAAAUCGGCCUGGAUCUCAUCGCUGCUGCAUAGUGAGCUGUAAAGUGAACUAGAAACAAAGGGAGAGAGGUUUAUUUUUUAUCUUAGGUGUGUCAUAUAUAUCUAUCUACACACACACACACACACACGUCUCUGUGCAUAUAUAUGUCUAUCUAUGUAUAUACACAAUGUACAGUAUGAUUUUUUUUAUAUUUAUAUACAUAGUGAAAUAAUUACCACAAUCAAGUCAAUUAACACAUCCAUCAUAUCACAGUCAUCUCUUUUCUUGUGACAGAGGUGCCUAAAAUCUACUCUUUUAGCACAUUUUCAUUACAUAAUACCAUAUUAUUAACCUCAUGCUGUACAUGAGAUCUCUAGACUUAUUCAUCCUAUAGAGCUUCAACUUUGUACCUUUGACCUACAUCUCCUUAUCGUUUCUCUGGUAUCCACCAUCCUACUUCCCAAGUUUUGACUCUUUUUUAGAUUCCAUAUAUAUAAGAGAAAUCAUACAGUUUUUUUCCCCAAUGUAUGGCUUAUUUCACUUAGCAAUUCCUACACAUUGACCGAUGUUGUCGAGAAUGGUAGGAUUUUCUUCUUUUAAGGCUGAAUAAUAUUCCAUUGUGUGUAGAAUUGGAUCACAUUUUCUUUAUCCCAUCAUCCAUCAAUGGGCGCUUAGGUUGUUUCUAAACCUUGGAUCUUGUGAACAAUGCUGUUUUAGAGGCUUAGGAAAGUGAUCCCUUCCUAACACCAACAAGCCCUUAUGCCUUAUCCUAAGUCAUGGAGUGGGAGACAUAAGAAAAAGAAGGAAAGACAAAAUGCCCUCUUUUUGGAUCUAAGAAGUAGGUUAGAUUAAAUUCUUCCCCCUGCCCCAUGACAGUUGUCAGAGCUAUAGCCCCUGCAGGCAUGCCUUGCAAGAAAUAUUUUAUAAUUCAUGUUUUCCAGAUGAAACACUAAAGACUCAAAUUGUAAUUGGUGAGUAGUAGAUAAUGUGGUUGUCUGAGUGCCAAAUUGCCAUCCCAACUCAACCUCCUCCCUGUGUCAGAGACCUGAGUCUUAAAGGUAUGGAGUGGGCCGUGCUGGGGGGUGGGGGAGGCUGACCUCUUCUCCUACUCAUGUAAGAUAGUCUUAGUUGGAUGAAGCCAGUUAGUUCCACCUGAGAGUGAGUUUGGGCUCAGUGGUUUUACAAAGCACCCUGGUGAUUCUAAGGCACAGCCAGGGCUGGGGAUCACUAACUACUCAUGACAAUUUCCAUUGUUAACAGCAUGGAAGGAGAGUGUUCCUGGGGCUUCUGAGAAAGCUGAAUUUCUUCUUUCUAUUUUCUAUUUUUCUUUUAAAAAAUAGAUAUAUUGUGUUGAUAAAACAGUCUAUGCUGCCCCUGGAUGGGAUGCCUGGAACCAUGGGCCCUAUUUUGAGAACAAAAGCCACUAAGGUUUGCGGAGAAAAAGAAGGGAAAAGACAUGGAUACUUAACAUGUUACUGAGCAACUGAAUUACCCCACCCCAGAACUGCCUUCUCCCUGGCCUUGCUGUUAAGUGAAUCACUGAAGGUUGAUUUAGCCGUUACUUGAAGCUGAGAGCAUCCUAAGUGACAUGGUUAUAUAGAAAGUGGCUGAGCUGAAGUCAAGCCAAGACCAGUUCUAAGGGAAAAAACUAGUGGAAGCUAAGAGUGAGGAGAAGCCAACCGAUAAUUGGGCAGUUAUUUGAAUGGGACCUUCAGGUUUCUGGACAGUUUUCAACUAUUAAAAGGUAAUUUGUUAGGGUUUUGAUAUAUUAUCUUGAAUUCCUUUCUUUGGUUUUUCUAUUCAUCAGGACCCCUUCCUGAAAAUAAAGAAGAUUAUCUAGAUAGUUAAUUGCCAGGUUUAAAAUACAAUUGGAGAGGAAGACCAGGUUUGAAGUUUGGGUAGUUAUUAAUAUUCAUAGCAAAUCUAAGGUUUCUGGAUUGUCUUGGAUUUCAGUAAAAUUCUAGUAAAUUUGCUCAUUUAGACAAUAACCUCAGUGAUUAAUGGGUCCAAUCACUUUUUCAACUGGAUUGAAUCUUCAGUCUAGUAAUUUUCCACAUAGGGUCCUCUGAAAGAAACAAUAGAAGAAAGAUUUCUUUAUAAUUUGAUCAUUAUGAAAUAGUCAAAUCCCCAGAGAAAAGCAGUCACCUGAAAUAUUAGUGCUUUUUGAAAGGUUCUUAUACCAUACAUAUCUCUAUAUGUAAACAGUUUAAGGAUGUGGAUUCCAUAUUUUUUUUAACUCUCAUGCAAAAUUGAAGUGGCUCAAAGUGUUAGCAUCACCGUCUAGAAACUUCCUGAAGGUGGCGCUCAAUGGUGAGACUGAGCAUCUGAACCAGCAAUUUCAGCAUCUGGAAAAAGUCAAGUCAAGUCCAGCCUUUUCUUCUUGACAGAGUUAAUUACCUUAAGUUAACGUACAGUGAAAGACUUCAUGGCACAAAAAAGAAUAACCAAAUUAUAAAAGGUAUAAUUUAAAGGCUUUGUCAAGAGCUGUGAUGAUCACACCCUAGAAGAUAGAAAUGUUCUGAAGUGGUACUGAUGCUCUGCGCUGGGAGUGUCUGAAGGAGGAACAAUGCCUGCAUUAGUGUUCAGGCUCUGGAGAGGAAAAAGCUUUUUGGUCUGCAAUUACUAGUCUGCUAGUCUCAUUUUAGAACACAUCUACUUGAUGCUUGCUAUUUUUUUUUCCACCACGCUUUUCUCCCUCUUAUUUCACGUGUACAUUAACAUGACUAAAAUAUGCUUUGCUGGGUGUUGAAGCUGCUGCCUGAUAGCAAGGCUCAGAUCCUCACUUUGCAGCAGCAUCCCCUUACCUUACACUGGGUCGGUGGAGCCCCAAAGUGCAAAACAUGCCCAUCUAGACCACUCCAAAGGCCAUCCAGUUUGGAUUUUCUGCCCUACUUCCUGAACCUGUCUCUUUAUGUGCAUCUCACUCAUUUUCUUCGAUUUGCUUCAUGAAUAAAGAGUACCUUCCAGAACAGGAGCUGCUAGCACUUUGUCUUCUAUCAUCUUGGUAGCAGCUGGCCUCCUUCUCUCAGUUUGAUGUCACCUCCAAUCCCAAGCCCCAGUACUUUACCACCUUGAGCUAAGAUGGGCAUGGAAUGAAUCUCCCCUGGCAUAUCCUCCUGCUUUUAGAGGGUCUCAGACCCUAAGCUAAAGUUGCUCUGGUUCUUGGCUUGAUUCCCUGAAGAUCAUGUUAAAUUCUACCAAGGAGAGCUCUUUUGAAGAAUAAAUUAAAUACCUACUUGGAGCACCCCAUCCCAGGUUUGAGAAGAAACUUCUGAUUAUCGUACUGUAACAGAGCAGGUCAGAGAGGCAUUUUUAUUUUAACAAAAGCAUUUCUUUCCCAGGCACAGUGGCUCAUGCCUGUAAUCCCAGUGAUUCAGGAGACUGAGGCAGGAGGAUGGAAAUGUAAAACUAGCUUCAGCAACUUAGUGAAACCCUGUCUCAAUAUAAAAAUUAAAAAGGACUGGGGAUAUGGCUAAGUGGCUAAGUGCCCCAGGGUUCAAACCCUGGAUGAGGAGGAGGAGGUCAAAAAUAUGUUUUCUUUUGUUAGAACUACCUCUUUCUUCACUCCCAACUCUUUCACUAUUCUAUUCCUCCAUCUCUCAUAUCCUGUCUUUUGGUAUUCUAAAUUCUAAAGAAAGCUCUCUGCAAUGUCCUUUCCUCUUCUGCAGUUUAAAAGAGAAUGUGUUUACCUAAAAGGAAGAAACAGAUGCUGGCCCCAGGAAGUCCUGGCUCCUUUUGGUAUGAUAAGGAGGUAACAGGGACUCUAAAAAGAGGUGAAACCUAUAAAAUUUCCCUCUUUUUUUCCCCAGUGUGCCCAUUCCCCCUUUAAAAAGAUUUUCUCACCCCAGAGACUUCCUAAGAUGGAAUUUUUCAAACAAAAAGUUUCUUCCUUCAAAGCUGACUUUGAAUAAAACCUAUUUUCCUACCAAUUUGACUCAGACUAUUUCUGAAGCAGGAAGUGGUGUAGCCUAAUCUCCUCACCAGAGCAGUAUUGGAGCCACCAGGUAAGAUUGUCAAAGACCUUCAACUAGGCUGAUCUAUAAAUGCAAAAAGGCAGCAAAGAUGAAGACUGAUAGAAUUGGAUUCCCAGUAAACAUUGGCCAAACUCACACCUUCCAUGGCUUCUAGAGCAACAGCUUCCUACAGGAAGGAGGAGGAUCUUUGUUUUCAUUCCAUCUCUGUGGCCUGACAGCCUGGCCUGAUGUUAUGGUUUAGAUGUGAGAUGUCCUCCUAAAGCUCAUGUAUGAAAUGAUGCAAGAAAGUUUAGAGGCAAAAUGAUUGGGUUAUAAGAGCCUUAACCUAAUCAGCACAUUGAACCCUGAUAGGGAUUAACUGGGUGGUAACUGUAGGCAUUCGGGGUGUGGUUAGAGGAGCUGGGUCACUGGGGGCAUGCCUUUGGGGUUUAUAUUUUGUCUGUGGUGAGGACAGUCUCUCUCUCUCUUUCUGCUUCAGGUUCCAAGUGCUGAGCUGCUUUCUCCUGCCACACCCAGUGCUUCUGCCAAAAUGUUCUGCCUCACCUGAGGCCCAGAGCAACGGAGUUGAUCAUCUAUGGACUAAGACCUCCCAAACUGCGGACCCCCACAUAAACUUGUCCUCCUCUAAUUGUUCUUGUUAGGUCUUUUGGUCACAGCAGGGAAAAGCUGACUAAAACCCCUACUUCCUACCACUUCCUACUUCCUCUAGAGGCUUACUUACCUCAGAGUCAGUCAUCCAUAAACUGGGCCCACUGUGCUGACCCCACAUGCUUUCUUUUUAAAAAGCAAUUUACCUGCACCCCUGCCUGGCCUAAGUCAAUAGACUAUGUUGCAUAAAAACUUUUAGGAGAAAUUCAGGAGAAAGGCUCAUCCCUGCCAAAAUGAAGAAUUCAAGUUACACUGAAGUAGGGGUUUCUGUGAUCCUUACACAGGAUCAGAUUCCAGAACUCAAGGAGAUUUGAUAGCUAGAACCAGUUAGCAUGGGCCAAAGUAACUCACAGUUGCCUUGGAUCUUUAGCAUGUCAACUCUCCCCUCCAUGGGGUAACACCAUGCACAGAAGAACCUGAGAGUGAUGCAGUCCUGCUGUCAGUCAAAAGUCAAGAGGUAGGCCUGGUGGGACUCUAUAGAAACUUCCCUGGUGUUAGAGGGAUAGACACAUGAGAAUGGUGGGAACACAAAGUUAAGAGAACAAUGACAUAAAAUAGACCCACAGUGCUGACCCCCUCAGGCUUUCUUUGCCAAAAAGCGAUUUGCCUGCAGACCUGCCUGGCCUAAAUGGACAGGAUAUGUCACAUUCCUCAACAAACUACCUGUUUUCUGCCAGGAAAUGCAGGCAGGAAAUAACAUUUAUAAGAGGAACCCAAGUUACUUUGAAAGGAGAGAUAUUUGUGACCCUUUUCACAGACCGGAUUCCAGAAGAUAAGGAUAAGUCCUCCCCACCAUAAAACUUGUAAAAAUGGUUAAGAAUCCAAUUAGACUCAGUCAGCAUGGGCCAAGGUGACAUAGAGUUGUCAUUGGCAACAGGGACUUGAAAGUGUGAUGUUACCCUGCUGUCGGUCAGAAGUCAUGAGGUUGACCUGGGCAGGACUCUCUGGGAUCCCCAAUAAAACUGGAUUGCAGGAGAGACACAUUGUCUC